RNAcentral lists this unclassified non-coding RNA (588 nucleotides) under Hevea brasiliensis (rubber tree). Lineage: Eukaryota; Viridiplantae; Streptophyta; Magnoliopsida; Malpighiales; Euphorbiaceae. The record is from RNAcentral.
GGAAGAAGGGACAAUAGGGCUUGCAGCUCUAGUGUCUCAACCAAAAAAAGAAAAAAUUUGGAUCAUUCUCUCCAUCUCCACCCAUUCCUCCUCACAGUAGUCUCUCACCAUGGUGGAAACUUAGUUGUCUCUCUUUACCACAGCAAAUCAGUUCAUGAAAAGAAGUGAGAGAAGAAUUGCAGAGGUGAGUAGUAACCCAAAGCCCAAUAAUUCCGAUAAAAAAAAAAAUCCAUCUUUGGCCAAAAUUUUCAACGGUCCAGCUCUUAGAAAGAAAGCCAAAUUAAUUUGCUUACCUUGAUGAUCUUGUAUUGUUUUUCUUUUCACCACGAGCGUUGUAUUGAAUGAAGGAGGAGAACGGAAUCGCCCUUGUAGCUGUCAACUCUUGUUUCUAGUUUUUGGCUUCAACGAAUUAACCAUACCUUCCUUUAUCUCCUCUAGAAACCUAAUACUGCAUACCCAUCGAUUCAGUUGAGAAUUGAAAGGGGAGAUAUAGAUUGAAGAGCUUAAGAGUGAUGAUUCACUCAACACUAGCAGAACUUAUGCACUUGCAAAUUGCCAUGGAGAUCACUUGAGUAUACUUUACCAGCC